GAUGAACGCUGGCGGCGUGCUUAACACAUGCAAGUCGAACGGGAAACCUUUUAUUGAAGCUUCGGCAGAUUUAGCUGGUUUCUAGUGGCGGACGGGUGAGUAACGCGUGGGUACCCUGCCUUAUACAGGGGGAUAACAGUCAGAAAUGGCUGCUAAUACCGCAUCAGCGCACAGAGCUGCAUGGCUCAGUGUGCAAAACUCCGGUGGUAUAAGAUGGACCCGCGUUGGAUUAGCUGGUUGGUGGGGUAACGGCCCACCAAGGCGACGAUCCAUAGCCGGCCUGAGAGGGUGAACGGCCACAUUGGGACUGAGACACGGCCCAGACUCCUACGGGAGGCAGCAGUGGGGAAUAUUGCACAAUGGGGGAAACCCUGAUGCAGCGACGCCGCGUGAAGGAAGAAGUAUCUCGGUAUGUAAACUUCUAUCAGCAGGGAAGAUAAUGACGGUACCUGACUAAGAAGCCCCGGCUAACUACGUG
Molecule: ribosomal RNA, 478 nt
Filed under: uncultured bacterium
Lineage: Bacteria
Description: partial 16S ribosomal RNA
Rfam family: Bacterial small subunit ribosomal RNA
Source: RNAcentral